This is a long non-coding RNA of Arabidopsis lyrata subsp. lyrata, 2410 nucleotides long. RefSeq lists it as uncharacterized. NCBI's taxonomy places the organism in Eukaryota, Viridiplantae, Streptophyta, Magnoliopsida, Brassicales, Brassicaceae. The transcript has 2 exons. The record is from RefSeq and is a predicted model, not a curated record.
GCUUGCAGUCACUAAAUAAUAUCAUUAAUUUUUGGCCACAUUUAUGGAAAAAUUUAUGUGGUUUAGUGGUUAUAACUCGGUAGAGCAUUCAACAAUUCGUGGGUUCGAGUCUUGAAGCUUGUAGCCAUGUGAAACUCCGGGACGGCUCUGGUUGGAACCACUCAUCACAUUUUCGUAUACGUUAUAUAUUUCCCGUCAAGAGAAACAAAGAAUGGCUUAGUUAUGACAUAAGGAAGAAGACGUAAGCAACCGAGAGUCGUUAAAAAGUGGAAAGAUAUGGGAAUAAAUUGGUAUAUUAUGGCGAAAUAGGGUUAUGGUUAGUUUACAAUUGAGAAUUGACCCAAUUUGUAACUAAUUUGUGGAUUACUUAUAGCUGAACACAUGUUAUUUUGCUUUUGCACUUUGUGUAGAUGAUAUUUUGUUUUGUUUUUUAAUCAUCUGGUUUUUGCUAAACUUUUUUAUUUAUUUAUCAAACUAUAUUUGCUACACUUUAAAACCUAUAAGGCAUAAGCCCAAUACAAAUAAACAAAUUAUGAAGAUUCAAGAAUGAUGGGGAGUGAAAUGUAACUACGUAGUAUAAAUCAAAGGCAAAAUCUAUCAUUCAGGUUUUUAGGCUCUUGCACAUUUGUGAAAUCGAAAACAUGUCUUUGGCUCUCUUAAAAGUCCCUAAAAGUUAUUAUGUAUAUGUUUCAUUAUGUUCAUGAAGCUGGAACAGCUUUACAGGAUGGAAAAUACAUAUCAUAAAAAAUUUAUGGGGUCACAAGGAUAUCUCCGUUCAAAAAAUGAGAAUUCCAUCGUUCAUAUAACUUUUCUUCGAUAGUACGCUACUGCAAUAAUAAUUAUAAAAAAGAAGAAACAUAUUACUAUAUAUAAAUUAUCCAAUGUGGACGAAUCUGUGGUCAUUUGUUAUUGACUAUAAAUUAUAUAUAAGUCAAUUCUCGAAUCGUGACGUCCGUUGACCAAAGUCCUUUUAUUUGUAUUGGGCUUAUUAUGUAUAGUCGGUCCACUUUUAUUGUCUCUGAGUCUCUGACGCUGAUGUUUUGUUCUUGCAAUACAAGCAAGAUUUUUUUGUUUUUUUGUUUUUUUUGGAUAUAUGGAAGUUCAAGAAGGCUCUACGCCUUUCAGAGGCGGGAUCCACACCAGAUUAAAUUCUUAUUUUUUAAAAAAUAAAUCUCUUCCAACGGACGUCGAACCCAAUACUUUCACCUAAAAGAUUUAUCAUUGGGACAACACCGAUAAAAAAAAGCAUGAUUUUCCGUUCAUACGGAUAAAAACUGUGGACAAGAAGAGUGUCCUCUACAUUACAUUAGCUAAACUAAUUUUACCAUUUCAAAGGUCCUUCCGAGCUCAUUAACCUUUUAAGCUUUGAAGGUAUGAUACAAACCAAAGUCACCUUUCUCCACAAUCACAUGAACACAAUACACAAUUUUGCGUAAACCUUUAAAUGUAAAUCAAGCCUUUGUAAUUUGUAUGAUCUGCGAUCAAAAUUUUGUUAAGCUUAUAAAAAAGGAACUGCAUCAUCAAAAUUGAAGACACUACUAACUAAAGGAAUACCAACUGCUACAAAAUCAAACUAACCAAAGCUAUUUUCUUUAUCAACUCCAUUAAUCCACAACAACAAUUAAUAUAACCAAACCCUAAAUCAAAUCAUUUCCCUUAACAGCUUUUCAAUCUCAAAUAUUCCAUUCAGAUUUAUACUAUUCCCUCAUAAAAAAGAACAAAAGAUUGAUCCAAAACGAUAACGGAGUAACACCCAUAUAUGCUAAUGAAGGAACCUCCUAGCCUACCAAAACUAGAAAAACCGAUUCAAAUCUAACUCCUUUUUCUUAGUGGAAGGAGAUGAAUGUGAAAACUAACUCCGAAAAAAGUUGAGGAUUAUGUUGAGAACACACAAUUACCAGCUUAAUGCAACCACCAAAGAACAUGUUAGAAAAACACUUGAUAAUAACGUUUCAUUAUUCAAUGGUAGCCAAACAAAAUUCAACAAUAAAGGAACAUAGAUUCUGUUCCAAGUAACUGAAAAUAUUCUAUUACCGAACCUCAUUGAAGCCAACUCUGAACAGAGAAACGAUGCUUCUGUUACACAUCAAAAGCCCUAGAUACGUAGAAUAUAAUUAUGACUAUAACUACUGUUGGGGAGUGGUACAAAUAAUCAAACAAACAAACUGGAGAUGACCAUGGGACAUCUUAAUUAGUGUUGGGUCCAGAGAUUAACUAUGGUGUGUGUUUGGAGAAGGAGAUGAUGAAUGAAGCAAAAGAACUCCGAGAAAAGUUUUGAGGAUUAUGACGAGAACACACAAUUAAACAUAAAGAAACGGCCUAACUUUUCAUAUUGGCAUAAACUCAAAGAUGUAAUUAAAAUAGUUAAUAACACUUGAUAAAUAACGCUUAUAGCAGAUUUUCCGAUAUG